Molecule: ribosomal RNA, 253 nt
Filed under: uncultured bacterium
Lineage: Bacteria
Description: partial 16S ribosomal RNA
Rfam family: Bacterial small subunit ribosomal RNA
Source: RNAcentral
UACGAAGGGGGCUAGCGUUGCUCGGAAUCACUGGGCGUAAAGGGUGCGUAGGCGGCUUUGUAAGUCAGUGGUGAAAUAUGGCAGCUCAACUGUCAAGGUGCCAUUGAUACUGCAGAGCUUGAGUACAGAUGAGGUAGGCGGAAUUGACGGUGUAGCGGUGAAAUGCUUAGAUAUCGUCAAGAACACCUAUAGCGAAGGCAGCUUACUAGGCUGUAACUGACGCUGAGGCACGAAAGUGUGGGGAUCAAACAGG